Molecule: long non-coding RNA, 1782 nt
Filed under: Volvox carteri
Lineage: Eukaryota; Viridiplantae; Chlorophyta; Chlorophyceae; Chlamydomonadales; Volvocaceae
Description: long non-coding RNA (VCAR_LNC001514)
Source: RNAcentral
UUUGCGAGAAGGACUCCGAUUUCCUAGAUCAGGACAUGUAGCAACUCGCCAGCUGUCAAAGGGAAACUAUCGACCAGCUCGGGGUUUUUACUGCAUGCGAACUUUGAAUCUUCGUGCGUUUAAACAUCCUCCACAUUCUCCGUAAGACAUCACAGUUUGAGUGUUGAGACGACAGAGGUUUGUUCGCCCGACGGGGGGCAGUGAUCGAUUCCCUAGAGUUGUGCGUUGUCUAGGUAUUCGACAAGUCUGGGGAAGGUGUUAACUUCAGAGCUAGAGACCUGGAAAAAAUUUAAGAGUUUUGAUAAGGUUAUUAGAAGUUUUAAAGGAAGCGUGAGAAACCAUUACUACACGAUGUUGGAUAGGUGGCGCAAGCCGUGGUAGGUGGUACUGUACUGCUCCUUCUUCGACUCAGCUUAAAGUUUCCAUGCGAACAUAUCUGCUUAGUGGGAACAGCCACGUUAUGUACUGGCACAUUUUGCGAACUUCCUUCUUUACAGCGAGCCGGCUCUUAGGGAUGGCCGGCAGCUUCCCUGUGGCUUGUUCGUAAAUCCUCGUUGCAGCUCUUUUGUAAUUCCCAAAUCAAAAUCACCCAAUACCCUGGUUCUCCCUAAAUAAUUGAGGCAAGAUGCAAUCGAAGCGCGGUUGCCUGCGGAUGCACGCCUGUUGAGCACGGCUUAAUCGUCACCGAGGUACCCCGCACCCACGAAAGCAGCACAUGCAAGAGAGGAGGCAAAGGAGUUGAGUCGAAUAACAGUAAGUUUGACACGGCCAUCCUUCGAUGGCCACUACUCCGCACUCUAUUCCUUCUUCUUGUGAAGUGAGGAUACUUUGCAAAAUGCAUGCCAUCUUACGCCUCAGUGGUGCUGCUGGCGACGAUGAUGAUGAUGACGAUGAUGAUGAUGACGAUGAUGAUGAUGACGAUGAUGUGAUGAUGAUGUGAUGAUGAUGUGAUGAUGAUGAUAUCAUGAUGCUGGCGCUGGUGCUGGUGCUGGUGCUGGGGAUGGGGAUGCUGCUGAUGUGUGAUGAUGUGAUGAUGAUGUGAUGAUGAUGUGAUGAUGAUGUGAUGAUGAUGCGUUGAUGAUGCGUUGAUGAUGAUGUGAUGAUGAUGAUGAUGAUGAUGAUGAUGAUGAUGUGAUGAUAAUGAUGAUGAUGUGAUGCUGAUGAUGUGAUGAUGAUGAUGAGAUCAUGAUGAUGUUGAUGUGGUUAUUGAUGUGAUGAUGAUGAUGAUGAUGUGAUGAUGUGAUGAUGAUGAUGAUGAUGUGAUGAUGAUGUGAUGAUGAUGAUGAUGGGAUGAUGGGAUGAUAUGAUGAUGGGAUGAUGAAGAUGAUGGGAUGAUGGGAUGAUGAAGAUGAUGGGAUGAUGGGAUGAUGAUGAUGAUGAUGAUGAUAUGAUAAUGAUGCUGAUGUGAUGAUGCUGAUGCUGAUGUUGAUGAUGAUUUGAUGAUGGCGUGAUGAUAAUUUGAUGAUGAUUUGAUGAUGAUGAUUUGAUGAUGUGAUGCUGACGAUGAGAUCAUGAUGAUGUUGAUGUGGUUAUUGAUGUGAUGAUGUGAUGAUGAUGAUGAUGAUGAUGAUGCUCUGGCUGCGGUGAUUGGACCAACCGACCUAAGAAGGGGAACGGAAGGGGGAAGUCCAGGGAAGAGCAGCAUCCAGCGUGGCUAUCUUCAGUAACCAAAAUCAUACUUUAUAAGAACUUCAGUUUUGUAAUUUUCUCCUUUGGAAUUUCCUCCUUUCAAGUCAUCGUGCAUUUCAUAAAGCUUAAAAGUUUACGGAAAAUCGCACCAGC